This 492-nucleotide ribosomal RNA is filed under the name uncultured bacterium. Its description in RNAcentral is "partial 16S ribosomal RNA". It matches the Rfam family "Bacterial small subunit ribosomal RNA", at positions 29 to 507 of the family's 1533-position model. The record is from RNAcentral.
AGUGAACGCUGGCGGUAGGCCUAACACAUGCAAGUCGAACGGCAGCACAGUAAGAGCUUGCUCUUACGGGUGGCGAGUGGCGGACGGGUGAGGAAUACAUCGGAAUCUACUUUUUCGUGGGGGAUAACGUAGGGAAACUUACGCUAAUACCGCAUACGACCUACGGGUGAAAGCAGGGGAUCUUCGGACCUUGCGCGAUUGAAUGAGCCGAUGUCGGAUUAGCUAGUUGGCGGGGUAAAGGCCCACCAAGGCGACGAUCCGUAGCUGGUCUGAGAGGAUGAUCAGCCACACUGGAACUGAGACACGGUCCAGACUCCUACGGGAGGCAGCAGUGGGGAAUAUUGGACAAUGGGCGCCAGCCUGAUCCAGCCAUACCGCGUGGGUGAAGAAGGCCUUCGGGUUGUAAAGCCCUUUUGUUGGGAAAGAAAAGCAGCAGGUUAAUACCCCGCUGUUCUGACGGUACCCAAAGAAUAAGCACCGGCUAACUUCGUG